CUGCCUUUAGCUUAACCGGAUAGAGCAAUGCCCUUCUAAGGCAUAGGUUACUGGUUCAACUCCAGUAAGGCAGGC
RNAcentral lists this transfer RNA (75 nucleotides) under Candidatus Profftella armatura (Diaphorina cf. continua). RNAcentral describes it as "tRNA-Arg". It matches the Rfam family "tRNA". From Rfam's summary of the family: Transfer RNA (tRNA) molecules are approximately 80 nucleotides in length. Their secondary structure includes four short double-helical elements and three loops (D, anti-codon, and T loops). Lineage: Bacteria; Pseudomonadati; Pseudomonadota; Betaproteobacteria. The record is from RNAcentral.